Molecule: RNA transcript, 9052 nt
Organism: Pan troglodytes (chimpanzee)
Lineage: Eukaryota; Metazoa; Chordata; Mammalia; Primates; Hominidae
Exons: 3
Source: RefSeq, a predicted model, not a curated record
AAAUACGUCACUGGCAGACCUGCCUUCGCCAGCGCCAGCCCAUCUCUGAAACCUCCAGCAUUUGUGCCCCGGUCCGGCCCCUCCCAGGCCUGACUCUUUCCGUGAACGGUCACUGUGCAGGAUCAAGCUACAAUGAAGAGGAGGGAGGCAAUCUGCGCGCACCGCCAUUUUCUAGGAACUGGGAAGCCCCCCCACCCCUUAGGAAGAUCCAUCCCUGUGGAACCUUGCCCAGGCUUACCAGCCUUUGCUGAGGUUGAUCUAUUGUCCCUCCUUGUCCCCAUCAAAAUAUCCAGCACUCCACCUUCAGGGAGUAGACUUGACCCUCAAAUAGCAAGUUCAGCCUUCCCAGGUCUAGGUUCCCUGGGAAGUCAAGAUUCGUCUGGUUCCUUAGUACAGAGGGCUAGCUGUGAGUUGGAAUCCCCCUAUGAGCUUUAGAAUCAGUCAAGAGGAAUUGGGCCCCUUCCCUUCAUCCCUCUUCUUUUCCCUUUUUGUCCCAGAGCUCAGCUCUGACUCAAAAGUUUUUCCAUUUACCAUCAACAUGGAAACUUGGCUCCUCAAGUGGGUAUAUUAUCCCCCUUUUGUACAUGGUCUUGUUGAUCCAAACUCCCUUUCUGUGAAAGAGGCCUGUGGGGCUCAAGAAGCCUGGUCAGCCAGCCAGGCUAGUCCCACAUACCUCAGAACCAGUUUAAUAAAGGCUCUAUGUCAUUCUUUUUUGCUUGGGCUGAUUGGUGUGCUGAUUCAGAAGACCUUGAUAUUUUAUUCUUUCCCCCAAACCAGCUCAAUUGGUGUUUGUGCUAGAGGGAGAUGGACCAUGGGGAGGGCUGUCAUAAGGGAUAUCCUUGGCCCUCCCACUUCCCCCUUUGAAGGAUGCCCUUGUUAUCUUAGGCAGGGACCUGAUACCGGUUGGUUCAGUAGAUAUCUGGCAGUUUACUCUGAGCAUUUACCUUGUAUUAGGGCAAGAACUAAAGGAACAAAUAUAUCCACCUCAAUGUCAGGUCAAAUGGGAGGAUGUGGAUGGGAGUAAAGAGUGAUUAGUAUUGAGGUCGUGGAAUUUUAUUGGUUACUAUUUUUAUAACUUUGGUCUUCCAGUCCUUGAAUGAAGGUAAACGGAGACUUAUUAGGGAACGAAUUACUAGUGGCAGGGUGGUGGUGUCCUGGUGUCCUGCUUAGAAUGUGAAGAGAGUGCCCCAUCAUUGGCCUAUGCUGUGCAUCUGGGAGGUGGUAGGCCACUGUCCUGAACUGCACAACUGGUAGUGAAAUUCAGAGCAGAAUGCAACAUUUAUUUAAUGGGGCCUCACAGUUGGCCAGUGUCCCUGUGGCCUUUCCCCUUCUUCCUUCCACUCUGUGUCAUGGAGACCCGACUUGAUUUGGCAAGAGAACAACGUACACCUAAGGUUUCCCGAAUAUUUCCCAGCAAGGACCCUGGCUGGCUAUGUUUCUACUUCAGUGGUGACCACAGCAGAUACUGGCAGUUUUCUGUUAUGGCUCUGGGGUCUUUUAAGGAGCAGGAACGUGGAAUAUGUACAAACCUGGAGCCACAGUCAAGUACUAAGCUCCUUGAAGCACAAGGCAUGAGAAUAUCAUGUUUUCUUUUCCUUAGAGGAUUUAUGAAUUAAAACUAAGGAAUAAUUUGUAAUCAGAAUAACACCACCUGGCAGGGAUGUCGAUGAGCUGAGGAAGGCUUAUUUGGAGAUUUCUGGUAUUUUCCAGCUCUGAGACUCCAGACCUAAUAUCUAUGUAAUGGCCAUUAAUGUCUCGUAAUUUAUAACAGUUUUAUCAGUGAUCCAUUACAUUAAUCAUCAUGAGUUGGUGACUUAUCAAGUCCUACAGGUUAUUUGUUAUUUGUAUAACUAUAUAGAGCUAUUUAAUUUACAAACACAAUACUCUUUUGAGGUAGAUACCAGAACCAUUUUACAUUUGAGGAUAUUGAAGCUAGGAAAAAGACUCAGCUCUUGAAGGAAUGGACAUGGGGUGCCCUUGCCUUCCUUGGGGAGAGAGCCACCUAAUCUGUGCAGCUGUAGUUAGGGCCUGCCACCUUAUUCCUCCUCUCCAUCCAACCCCUACAUUUUGGAAACAAAAAGGCAGCAGUGAUCUGGGAAUUAUUUAAUGCUUAGUUUGACAGGACAAAUUUUAAGGACCUUAAGAGCAACCUUUUAUUUCUUACCAUAUGAGGCACUGGGACAGGCACAGAGAAGUCAAUAUUAUUUGCCCAGUGCAUUUCUUCAUGGCUUCUGCUUUUUAAUCUUAGGCUCACUUUUUUAACCUCAUUGCUCACAUGUUAUGAUUCCUUCCAGAAAAUUCACUGAAAUUCUAAUGUCCCUUGCUGUUCCUUAGGUAACUUAGGAGUAACUUUCCAGCUCUUCCCCUAACUAGUUGUGUGACGUUCAGCAGGCUGCUUAACUUCUGUGUGUCUCAGUUUUCUCAACUGUAAAAUGAAUGAUCCAACCCCUAUGUCAGAAGGAUGGGUGAGGCUCAUGAGGAAUAACACAUAAGAAAUAUGGGAUGCUUACCACAGUGUUUGGUAAAUAACAUGAGUUUCCUCUUCCCUCUUUGAACAGUCCUUUGUAUUCUGCUGAGAGCUUUCCUGUUCAUGCUGCCUCACAACCAAAAGGGGAAAGAAUCCUGAGUCCUGUGCUCGUGAUUUCUCCCUUCGCUAGCUGGUUCAAGGCCAAUCCAGAUAUCAUGGUAUUUUCUGAAAGAGUCCCACCCUUCUGUGCAAAAGCCUUCCUUCCAGGGAGACUUGAUAUGACUGAUUAACAAUCCAAUUAACACUCUGGAACAAUCUAGAAGGGCUGUGGCUCAUUACCCUCUGCAAUUUUCCACCCAUUUAGUCUCCAAGCCAUUCCCUGGAAGAGAUAAGUGGAUCUGAUGAGUGGGGCUGUGCCAUGAGACCUCCAAUAUUUAUGGAGAAGCCAGUCCUUUCUUCCUUCGCCAGGCCUCAAGAUUUCCCAAUGUGCCUCUAUUCUUACAUGGAGGAUGGGAUUCUUUGCCUUCAUACAGGAAGAAACUGGAACCUCAAGGCAGACAGGACAAAUACAAAUCUUGAAAAUGACCAUGACUCCUAGUUGGUCCCUACUUGCCUCCUGGUUUCACUAAGUAGAGGGUCACUCCAGGUAGAGCCCUAUCCAGCACGCUGCUCCUUCCCCCACCUUUAGAUGUGGACAGUGGGUGGACUGGGCCCAUAGCCUGGACCUGGACAGCUGUGUCCUCCCAACCAGACUCUUCUGAUUCUGCUGCACCCCACUCUUUCCUACUUAUCCUUGCCUAGAUCCCUCUUACUCCAUCUUUCCUGCUCAGGUCACAAUGGACAAUAAUCUCUGACGCCUGCCCCAGCUAGACUGGCACUGGAGAGCUGAGAGAGCCUCCUGUCCAUGGAGAAUUCUGGCAGAGCUGCUAUCUUCAGCCCCCUCUCAACUCUCCAGGGUCCUGUGCCCUUUGUCUACCUCUCCCAGGCCUGACUCUCCUCCCACUUGCAUGGACAUUGUCUUUCCUAGCUCUGGGCUGCCUUCUCAGCCUCAUGUUUUGCCCUUUUUCCUGCUGUGGGAGCCAGCCAUCACUGUAAUGCGUGAGUGUGGGGAUGUGGUGUGAAGGGAACUCCAGUUCUGGGGUCAGAAGAUUUAAAGUUUGAGACCUACUUCUGUCCCAUAAGCACUAUAAAAACUAAGCCAAAUAAACAACUUUGAUCCCCAGUUUGGAAACAUUUGUAAUGUGAAGAAAUCAGACUUUUGAUAAAGAAUGGAAGAAAUGGUAAUCCAUGCUAAAGAAAUGUUUGGAAUGUUGAGAUGCUAUAGAAUCUUUCUGACAGUGCUGCUGACUUUGUAUACCUCUACAUAUAAAUGUCUCCAGUUUUGUUUCUUUUCCACCAUUCUGCAGACAAAGCUGAAUGCGGGCAGGGAAGGAACCCUCACUGUUGAGCCCUGGAAUCAGGCACUCUUGUCUGAGCCCCUUCAUCUUUGGUUUGGGGUAGAAAGCACAGGUGGCACCCUUUCUCUAGUUUUCUCACUUCUGGCACAAACUCUCAUUUACUGUAACCUAAGAAAGGAUGGAAGACCUUGAGCCUCAAGAAAAAAGCCCCAAGAAAAUUCCAUGCCUCUGCUUCCCUCACAAAUCAAAGCUGAGCUAAUCCAGAGCAGUUUGCAUGAUUCCUUAGAAGAAGGAACCUCACCAGGACUCUUAAAAGCACGGAGACCAAGGAAGAAUUGGGCUUCUGCACUUUAUCACUGUUGAGGUCCUCCCUGCCUGCUCCCAGACCUCUGGAGUGACCCACAGUCUUCUCUAUUUACCUUAAACACAGAAUCCAACCUCUUCAUGUAGGUGAGUCACCCCAUCUGCAGUUAUAUGUCCUGGCGCCCCCAGCUCUCUCUCCCCAAACAAACUGUGAAGCAUCAGCCCUACCCAAGGAACCUGUCCAGCCAUGCACACUUCAACCAACCCUCUCUGACCUUAGGAUGAAACCGUUUCUCUAACAUUUUUUUUCACUCACAUUGGGACCAGUGUGUUGAUUCAGAAGACCAAAUUGGGAACUAAUUUUAAUCUCCCUACCUCAAGGAAAUGGAUGGUCUUCGGACUAGAGGGGGCCCAGGUAUUAAAGGGUGUCAGAGAGGGCUGGUCAAUGGGCUACCAUCCCACCACCCCUUGGGAAGAGCUCACCUCCCUUCUCAAGUGGAGAGCCUCUGGCCCACUCUCAGCCCUCUGAUCAGAGCCAGGCUCUCACUGAGUGAUUUUUCUGGCACCUGGCAGUCUUCCCAUCCUAGAAGGGGAACAGUGGGAGGUUUUUGGUGGCAGCAUUUGUGUCAUUCCAGAAUACUGGAUGUUAGAUUUUGGCUGUUGGGCAAAUCCUGGAAUAAAGAUGAAGGGUGGGAAGGAUUAGGGAACCAAUGAGUGAGGGGCAGGAUGGCCAUCCUCAGCCCAGCAGUGAAGUCUAUAAUUUUCCAGGUGCUUCCAUCUACUAUUGGGGCUGUUGUGUAUGUCAGAACAUUCAGGGCAUCAGGGAGUACAGAGGUUACCAUGUGCUCUCUGCCACUUCCCUGCCUCCUUUCUUUGCUCAAAAUCAUAGAGACCAGUGCUGAUUUGGCAGGGAAUAUCGAACCUCUUGAGAUUUUUCCAGCUGGAACCCUGGCUCUGUACCUAGUUUUUUAACACUAUUUUGACCAUAGCAGUCUUUGGGAGCUGCUUGAUGUCUGGGCUCUGGAUUUCCCAUGAAGUCAAGAAUGAUGGAUUCACAAGGGCCCACCAGGAAUAUGGAGCCAUGGUCUGAUUAGAGCACAGAGAGCUACUUCCUGCCUUGGGUAAAUCCUGAAAUUCAUCAUGCAUGAUUUUCCUUUUAAUAAGAUUAAGGAGAGCUUGUAUAGAUAUUGAACAGGGGAUCCUGAUAGCCAUUGAGGGAGGCUGGAGUAGAUGACCUCUGAUAGCUUUUGCCAGCUUUGAGAGUCUAUGAACUUAACAUAUGUAAUAUUAUCAUUAAUAUGCUAUGAUUUAUGUUACUUAAAUGAUGCAUAUCAUUAAUAAUAAUGACUGUUAUUACGCUGCCUUUUCUAAUCCAAUAUGUGAUCUGUGUAACUACAUAGUACUACAGAAGCAUACUUACUGAAGUCGAUACUUACCAUUGAUAUCUUACCAAAAAAGAAACUGUGGCCAAGAAACAGCCUCUCAACCCAGAACCCCCAAACUAAACAGCCUCUUUCUCUCAGGAGGAACUGCACCUGCCUUGGUUUACUCAGGACCCUCUAGUUCUCUGCAACUACCCUUCUUCCAGACCUGCUUUGUUCCCUCCACCACACCUCCUCUCAAGCUCCUGGGACAGCUAGAGAUGCCUCCCUCAACCCCUGCUUGUCUAGGCACAGGAUCCCAGUCCUUAAUGUGCCCCUGUUAGACCCAAAUCCAGUCACUUUUCCAUACCAGGUCUUAAUUUCCUCUUCUGUAAAGUGACUCAAGAUUUUGAAACUUAAAAUCUGGUGAAUUCUUCCAAGCACAGGUACCAUCUUAUGUUGUAUGGCCUUUGGCCAAUCCAUCUGUCCAUCUUUUCUUGGAUAGUAGUUUUGCCAGAUCUAUAAGUUAUCUUGAAAUUAGUGAAAACAGACCAAUCUUUGAUAACCAGAGAUCUAAAGCAUCAGCUUAUGGCCCUGUCCUUCAGGGUAAUGUGUAAGGCCCUCAAAGCCAUGCACAGUGUCUUUCACUUUGACUUUUAUCUCUCUCAAUACCAUGCACAGUGCUAGGCACACAGCAGGUCAGCAAGAGCAUGCUGAAUGAGCACAAACAGAUUUCACCAUCUCUCCCACUUUUUCUGCUGGACUCAGUCUUCUGAAAGUCAAGGCACAUAUGCCAGGAUUCAGGCCUUCCACAUGAAACCCAGACAGCUCUGCAUUUUUACAUCCUCUGCAGCUCUGUAAGAAACUUCAGAGCAAAUCCAUCUCUUGAGUGUUUACCCAACUUUGCGCCUCAAUAGCUGUGUGACCUUGGGCAAGUUAUUUAACUCUUCUCUACCUGAGCUUCCCCAAUAGAGAUAUUAAUAAUAAUACUUAUUUCAUUGUGUUGUUUUGAUGAUAAAUUGAGAUAAUCUAUAUAUAGCUCUUAGACCAGUACAUGGCACAUAGGAAACUCUCAAUAAAUGUCAGGUAUGAUUAUCAACUUACUUUUGCAGUUCAAUAUUCACCUGAAAAAUGCCAACCUAAUGUUCUCCUAAUGAAAGUAUAAGAACUUUUCCAUAAUUAGUCUGGGUAGGUAGGGCAACCACCCCAUCUUUUGUAGACAGGAAGGACCAUGUCUUCCAAGAGAUCCCCACAGGAAUGGGUGGGAAGAGCAUAACAGGAAACCCAAGAUGAAAGACUUCAGGAUUAAUAGCUGCAACUGAGGGCUUAAAUCCCUUCUUCUUGGCAGCAGUACUCCUCAAAUGGUGAGCAAGUUACCUGCUAGUUUCCAGGACAUGCCAAGUCCAUGACAGAGGGAACAGGUGUAGUGCGCUGAGGUUUUACUUCACAAAAAAGUGGAAACAAUGUCAGAUAGGUCAGCUAACAGAGGUCUCCAUGGUUUGGAAAAUGGGAUAUCUUGGAUGUAGCCUAGGAGAUUCAAGGGAAAGAAAACUCAUCCUUGCAAAGUAUAUGAAUGUUAGUGCUGCUGUGGGGUAUGCCAGGGAGCACCACUGAACACAUGUUACAGAGGAGGUGCAGGAGAAGAGGGGGUGUGCUCAUCACCAACUAAGCAGAUGGACAGCCUGGACGGAUGGACUGGGGCUGUGGGAGGUUGGUCAGUGGGCUGACUGGCUGUGGACCAGAUGGGUUUGGGGAUCCCAUGGAGAUGGGUGAAAUUCCAGCUCCAUUCUCUCAUCAGUAGGAAACCGAGCAUGUGACUGUUGACAUCUUGGAAAGGACUAGACCAUGAGAUCUUCCUUGCUCCAAUCCCAGACAGACUCCGGCAUGAGAUGGUGGAGGAGAAUUCUGGCUCCAGGAGCAUAUUCAGCUGAUGGCUAAAGGGACCAGAAGAUCAAUUAUCCCAACAAUAAUAGGAAAAUAACCAGGGAAGAGCCUGUAAUCUGGGCCUACUUCCUCAGAAUAGUUUGCAGAAAUCCCACUGGUUGUAAGAACAGAGGAAGCCCCACCCAGCUUGCUGAAGCCCUGAGACCUUCACUGCAGGCACACUGAGAACAGAAGAUACGGAAGUACUCAGGCUGUACUUAUGAAAAAUCAAUACUCACAGACUUUUAAAGAAAAGUUACUUUGCAUUUGGGAAGGGGGAAUCCUGAGACAGUGACUGUUGCCUAGCCUGGCUGACAAUUAUAUCCCUUAACAAAAAAGUGUUCCUGAGGUCUUUUCGAAUUUCAACACUGUAAUGAUGAAAAAAUAGAAAAUUCUCUUGAGGGAAACCUGAGGGAUAUGUCAUUAUCGAGAACGUGGGGAAAGGGGUCAAACUGUUUUUCCAGAAAGCUUAAUAAUCAACUAGGCAAAUAUUGUAUCAGCUAUCUCACCUCUGCAAAAGAUUGAAGAGCUGGAGGCUUCUGUAUAUCAGGAAAGAGUAUCUGGGUAGGUAUCUUACCUGAUAGGGACAGGGGUAUUAAAAUAGAAAGAGGCGAGAAGAUGGGUUUUGUCUCUGAAGCAAGCUGUUGUCAGGCUUUUUAUCUUAGGGGGAAGAAGUUAUAGGCUCCUGGGGCAGAGCAGCCCAGACAAGACUGGAGAUGGAAGGCUCAUUCAACAAGCGACCUCCUAGAGGUCACCAAGAGGGGAGAAGGGGUGACCACAGGGUGGGCUGGGCAGUGCAGUCUGAAUCCUGAGGAAUUUUCCUGGCCAGGGGAGGGAACGUGUUUCAAGGCAAGGAGGGCCAGAAAGGCCGGUGUAUGGUCAGAAGGAACUGCUUCACCAAGGUGCUCUUGCCUGGAAUUAACACUCUGAGGUUUCUCGCAGAUCUUAGGCUAGUCAAGGGUUUCCUGAUUAGGCUACAAAUGUGAAUCAUUCAGUCAGUAUAAAAUACAAUCUAUAACAGGUUGACGGGAAGAAGAAAGGAUGGGAAGGCAGUGUGAUGUCAUGGGAAGAACUAAGGCUUUGCAGCCAGACUUAACUGUGUGACCUUGGGCAAGUUACUUAACCCCUCUGAGCUUCAGUCCUUUCAUUUAUAAUAUGGGAAUAAUACUAUCUACCUAAAAAGGCUUUAGUGAUGAUUCAGUGAGAAACAUAUUUGAAGCAACAAGCACAGUAACUGGAAGCUGUAGGUACUCAACAAGUGUCAGUUUCCUUCCUCUUCUAAAAGCUGUGCUUUCAAGUCAAUUGUAUGUCUAGAGUCGCACUGUCUGGUACAGUGGCCAGUACUAGCCACAUAUGGCUCUCAAGUACUUUAAAGAGGGCUAGUCUGAAUUGAUAUGUGUCAUACAUGUAAAAUACUUUAAAGAGGGCUCAUCUGAAUUGAUAUAUGCCAUACAUGUAAAAUACAAAUCAGAUUUCUAAAACUUUGUACCAAAAAGUGCCAUAAAAUAACUUACUAAUAAUUUGAGUGAUUACAUGUUACAAUAAUAUUUUGGAUAUAUUGAGUUAAAAUAUAAGAUUAAAAUUAAUUCCACCUGUUUCUU